Non-coding RNA from Podarcis lilfordi (Lilford's wall lizard), 75 nucleotides. The record is from the annotation of a GenBank genome assembly. Lineage: Eukaryota; Metazoa; Chordata; Lepidosauria; Squamata; Lacertidae.
GGAAAGGUUGCAACUCCAUGGUAGAGAAUCUGCCUUGCAAGCAGAAGGUCCCAGCUUCAAUCUCUAGCUUCUCCA